Molecule: long non-coding RNA, 240 nt
Filed under: Lathyrus oleraceus (garden pea)
Lineage: Eukaryota; Viridiplantae; Streptophyta; Magnoliopsida; Fabales; Fabaceae
Description: Pisum sativum (pea) long non-coding RNA (PSAT_LNC008286)
Source: RNAcentral
AAAUUUCAAGAUCGGGCCUACAACUGUCAGUUUUAUUUAUCUACAUUCGCGUAGUUCAAGCUGGCAUGCUAGCUUAAUUUUUUUAUUACGUUUACGUUCGCAUGGUGAUCAACCCGAGCCUUUUCAAUCGGACAUUUUUUAUUGCAAAAUUUGAUCUUUAUCUGUUUGUUUUCCGGAACUUUAUUUCGCGUAGAUCAUUUUGAUGCAUCCAUUUUUAUUUUUCGCGAUUUUUUAUUCAUU